Molecule: transfer RNA, 76 nt
Filed under: Lentisphaeria bacterium
Lineage: Bacteria; Pseudomonadati; Lentisphaerota; Lentisphaeria
Also listed under: 1 other name
Description: tRNA-Phe
Rfam family: tRNA
About the family: Transfer RNA (tRNA) molecules are approximately 80 nucleotides in length. Their secondary structure includes four short double-helical elements and three loops (D, anti-codon, and T loops). Further hydrogen bonds mediate the characteristic L-shaped molecular structure. tRNAs have two regions of fundamental functional importance: the anti-codon, which is responsible for specific mRNA codon recognition, and the 3' end, to which the tRNAs corresponding amino acid is attached (by aminoacyl-tRNA synthetases). tRNAs cope with the degeneracy of the genetic code in two manners: having more than one tRNA (with a specific anti-codon) for a particular amino acid; and 'wobble' base-pairing, i.e. permitting non-standard base-pairing at the 3rd anti-codon position.
Source: RNAcentral
GGUAUUGUAGCUCAAUUGGCAGAGCACUUGGUUGAAGCCCAGGGUUGUAGAGGUUCGAUUCCUCUCGAUACCACCA